GGCGACGGCAGCGCCUCCUCCGCCACCAAACUCCUGGGGCUCCGCGGGGGCUUGGGGCCACCUCCUCCUGAGCCCGGAGGAACCCUCUCCCGAUAGGUUCCAGCGUGACUCCCUCCCACUCCACCCUUUUCCUUUCUUCUUCCUCUUUUUUUUUUUUUUUUUUAAACACAUUUUUUUCCUGGCUUCGGACCUCAGACUGCUGCAGCCCUAACCUUCCCAGGGCUCAGCUCUUUGGAGCUGCCCAUUCCUCCGGCUGCGAGAAAGGACGCGCGCCCUGCGUCGGGCGAAGAAAAGAAGCAAAACUUGUCGGGAGGGUUUCGUCAUCAACCUCCUUCCCGCAAACCUAAACCUCCUGCCGGGGCCAUCCCUAGACAGAGGAAAGUUCCUGCAGAGCCGACCAGCCCUAGUGGAUCUGGGGCAGGCAGCGGCGCUGGCUGUGGAAUUAGAUCUGUUUUGAACCCAGUGGAGCGCAUCGCUGGGGCUCGGAAGUCACCGUCCGCGGGCACCGGGUUGGCGCUGCCCGAGUGGAACCGACAGUUUGCGAGCCUCGGCUGCAAGUGGCCUCUCCUCCCCGCGGUUGUUGUUCAGUGUCGGGUGAGGGCUGCGAGUGUGGCAAGUUGCAAAGAGAGCCUCAGAGGUCCGAAGAGCGCUGCGCUCCUACUCGCGUUCGCUUCUUCCUCUUCUCGGUUCCCUACUGUGAAAUCGCAGCGACAUUUACAAAGGCCUCCGGGUCCUACCGAGACCGAUCCGCAGCGUUUGGCCCGGUCGUGCCUAUUGCAUCGGGAGCCCCCGAGCACCGGCGAAGGACUGGCGGGUGGGGUAGGGAGGUGGCGGCGGCGGCAUGGCGAGGUUCCCGAAGGCCGACCUGGCCGCUGCAGGAGUUAUGUUACUUUGCCACUUCUUCACGGACCAGUUUCAGUUCGCCGAUGGGAAACCCGGAGACCAAAUCCUUGCCCUUGAUCAUCUUUGGAAGCUUCAUAAAGAACUGAGACCUUAAAAAUGGAAAAUUUAGAAAGAACAAACCAUUAAUGUAGUAGUAAGCAUAAAGUUGGUUUUCACAGUUGUGUAACAGAUUUCUGUAAGCUCUCUUUCUGGAAAUACACAGUCUUAACUUCCAGCUGCCUGACACAUGAUGAACACCUACAAUAUGAUGCCCUUAAAUCCUCCCUCAAUUUCCUAACAAGCACAUGGCUACCAUUGCCACAUUCCUGAUUAUUAUUUCAGCCAUCUCAAAGAUUCUUAUAUGCUUCUGCUGGCUUCACAAAUUCACACUUUCCCCCCUCAUUUAUACUUCAUUGCCAAUGAAAAAAAUAAAUUACUGGAAUGGAUACAUUGCAAAAAAAUUAUCUUGUAGGUAAUUUGUAGUUUUCUUGGCUCUUUAGAAUGAUUGAAAACAAAGGAAAUUAGAUGUAUUUUUUGGGAGGUGGAACUGAAUAGCAAUAUAAUUGAUUUAUGUAGUCUUAGGGUAUUCUUUAUUUGUUUAGUGGCUUAAACAACACAAAUUUAUUGUCCUGCAUUUCUGGAGGUCACAAGUCCUCAAAUCAAGUUGUUGAAAUGCUGUAUUCCUUCUGGAAGCUCUAGGAAAGAAUUUGUUUCCUUCCCUUUUGCAGCUUCUAGAGCUCAUCUACAUCCCUUGGCCUGUGGCCCCAUCUUCCUUAUUCUAAGCCGGCAAAGUUGCAUUUCUCUGAUCUUUCUUCCGUGGGACACCGCUGGCUAAAUCUCCUGUUCUGCCUCUUUCUCACACUUAAAAGGAACCUUGUGAUUACACUAGGCCCACAUGGAUAAUUGAGGAUAGUCUCCCUAUCUUAAAGUCAAUUGAUGAGUAACUUUAAUUCCAUCUGCAAUUUCCACCUAGAAUUUCCCAUUCUGUUCCCAAACUGAUACGGGGUUCAUUCACCCAGUGCACAGAACAAGACAAUACUGACACCAGGAUUUGCAGCAAGAGAAAGUGAACUAAUUAUUGCAUGGUCCCAAGCAAGGAGAAUAGGCUGCUACUGCUUAAGACCUGAACUUCCAGAUGGCCAAGAGGCAAAGAAUUGAAAGGCAGGGGUACAUUUUAGAAAAGAAGAACUUACAGGCAAAAUUGUACAUCAAUACAUGGAGGUUAUACAUUGGUUUGGCCCAGCAGGGUGGGAUAUCUUCAAGUGGGGUCUUACAGGUCAUUGGUAAGUUUAGAGAUUCUUUGAUUUGCAAUUGGUCAAGGAAGCAAGGCUUUGUCUAAAAAGUUGGGGUCAGCAGAAAAGAAUAUGAUAGUUUGGCCUGUGGGUUUUCCUCUAUCCAGGUGACCCUCAGGAAGAAAUUUAGAACAAAGAAGAAUGACAAUUGGAAUUCGGUCCUCCUUUCCCUCUUUUUUUUUUUUUUUUUUUUGACAGAGUUUCCAUCUUGUUGCCCAGGCUGGAGUGCAAUGUUGCGAUCUUGGCUCACUGCAAUAUCCACCUCCUGAGUACAAGCAAUUCUCCUGCCUCAGCCUCUUGAGUAUCUGGGAUUAUAGGUAUCCACCACCACGCCCAGCUAAUUUUGUAUUUUUGGUGGAGAUGGGGUUUUACUCUGUUGGUCAGCCUGGUUUCAAACUCCUGACCUCAGGUGAUCCACCAGCCUCAGCCUCCCAAAGUGCUGGGAUUAUAGGCAUAAGCCACCACUCCUGGCCUCCGUUCCCUCUUGUCUGAGGCCUAUGUGACAGGGCUCAGCAUUUUCCAACUGGUGGAGAUCUGUAUUUCUGUAGAACGUCUCAGGGACAUAGGUCAAGGGGUAUGUUCAGUUUCUAUAAGGAGCCAAACAUCGGGUAACUUUAACUUACUUGGGGGCUAUUUUUUAAGCUAUUAUUACCUUCUUACUUCUCAGGUUGCUCCCUGACUCCUCAAGGCUAACUAAGUACCUGCAAUUUCUCUUGAAGGGACUCACAAUUUUUCCUUUAUUUCCAUGCUUGUGGGGAGGCGUGUGGCAGGCUUCUAGAGGCCACUCACAAACUGGGGCUCAUGGCCUUCUUCCAUAUUCAGACCAACAGCAUCACAUCUUCAAAUUCCUCUCUCACUCACCAGUCUCGGGGUAUUCUCAAUGUGCGAAGAAAGAUCUGGUGGAGGUAAAGUUUCAUCCUUGGAAACUGCAGAAAAAAAUAUAGUGUGUAUGUAUAAAUGUACCCUUGAAAAAUCAGAAGGAGAGCCUCUCUGAAAUUUGGUUAUUUGUUGUCAACAUUAAUAAAUACAUUGUAAUAAAAUGUCUGUAAAAUAUCAGCAUUAAAAAUAUUAGAAAGUUUCAACUAGGUUUAAACAAGUCAUUUGUCAAUGCCUAUUUAGAAAUUAAAACUGUUAUCUGGGGGCUGUAGAACCCGUUUCAAUGUGAUACGUGGCUUUGUAAUGUUUUUAUUUAUUUUAUAUUUUUUGAAUUGAAUUGAAAAAGCUCUUUUUUAACCUUUAUUUUGGGUUUGGGGGUACAUGUGGAGGUUUGUUACAUAGACAGAUUGUGUUUCACGGGGAAUUUGUGUAGAGAUUAUUUUGUCACCGAGGUAAUAGGCAUAAUACCCGAUAGGUAGUUUUUUUGAUCCUCUCUCUCCUCCCACCCGCCACCCUCAAUAGUCUCCAGUGUCUGUCAUUCCCUUCUUUGUGACCAUUUCUUCUCAAUAUUUAGCUUAAUAGGUAGUUUUAUAUGAGAUUUGGAAGCUUAGUCUAGUCAUCUUCAUGUGCAUUAAAAUAAGGGAGUCCAUGUGCCCAGGAGUUCUGCCAACGUUUAGCAAACUAUUGGCACAUUCUCGGAAAUAGCAACCAAUGUCUUGCAAUGUCUGCACCUGAUCAAAAUGUAAUGUAGUUUAUUCAUUUUCUGACUCUAUAAAAUUAGCUUGAAAAGAAAAUGUUAACUCUAUGCCAUUGAAACAAAAAAUAUGACCCUUAUUUUUAAAUUCAUAUUUAGUUACAUAAUUACCCAGUCAGUAGGUAGAGACCACUACUAGUGUAUAUUCUGUUGAUUUAUUUUCAAAAAAUUUACCCUCUGUUUAAUAAAAUACAUUUGUUUUCCUUGAAAA
This 4015-nucleotide long non-coding RNA is filed under the name Homo sapiens (human). RNAcentral describes it as "HSALNT0159690". Lineage: Eukaryota; Metazoa; Chordata; Mammalia; Primates; Hominidae. The record is from RNAcentral.